This is a long non-coding RNA of Carica papaya (papaya), 3452 nucleotides long. RefSeq lists it as uncharacterized. NCBI's taxonomy places the organism in Eukaryota, Viridiplantae, Streptophyta, Magnoliopsida, Brassicales, Caricaceae. The record is from RefSeq and is a predicted model, not a curated record.
CUGAUCAAAUAAAUAAUUUUUCAUCAACAUAAAGUUUAAGCUCUACAUCUUCUUCUUUCUCUGUUUCUUUCAACUUCAAAUAAAACAACAAAUUGGUAUCAAAACUCUCUUCUUAAGGGAUCUGUGAUUACGAUGGAGAGUGAAACCUGCUAUUUCAACUUUGCUCCUCUAGUGUUUGAUGGUGAGAAUUAUCAACUCUGGGUCGUGAGAAUGAUGGCUUACCUUGAGGCUUUGGAUCUUUGGGAGGCCGUGGAAGAAGAUUACGAAGUCGCUCCGCUGCCAAACAAUCCUACCGUGGCCCAAAUGAAAAAUCACAAGGAAAAGAAGACCAGAAAAUUCAAGGCAAAUGCAACUUUCUUUGCGGCUGUUUCAGCAAAUAUCUUCACAAGGAUCAUAUCUCUUAAAUCUGCAAAAAAAUUUGGGAUUAUCUCAAAGAAGAAUACGAAGAAGAUGAAAGGAUUCGAGGCAUGCAAGUGCUGAAUUUAUUGAGGAAAUUUGAACUGCAGAGAAUUAAAGAUUUUGAGUCAAUCAAAGGAUACUCAGACAGAUUAUUGGGCAUUGUAAACAAGGUAAGGUUGCUUGGCACUCAAUUUCUAGAUUCAAGAAUUAUUCAAAAAAUUCUUGUAACUAUGUCAGAAAGAUAUGAAGCUACCAUUACCUCCUUGGAAAAUACAAAGGAAUUGUCCAAUAUCACUUUGGCAGAGCUGCUAAAUGCCUUGCAAGCUCAAGAUCAGAGGUGGCUAAUGAGGCAAGAAAAUGUUGUCGAAGGAGUUCUGCCAGCCAACACCUAGUGGCUAAAAAAACUAAAUAGAAAAGUGACAAAAAAACAUAAGUGACAUCUUCUAAAGGUUCCAGAAUCGCAGCAAUGGUAGAAAUUCGAAAAAGAACUACCCACCUUGUCAGCACUGCGGUAAAAUAGGUCAUCCACCUUUCAAAUGUUGGAGAAGGACAGAUACCAAAUGUAGCAAAUGUGGUCAGGAUGGACAUGAAGCUGUGGUUUACAAUAAUAAAUUCCAGAACCAAAAUAAAGUUGCUCAAGUUGCUGAUGAAGAAAAAGAUAGGAUGUUUGUGGCGACAUGUUUUUCAACCAAAAGUUCUUCAGAAGAUUGGCUUAUUGACAGUGGUUGUACAACCCACAUGACUUUUGAUAAAACUCUCUUCAAAGAUUUAAGGCCCUCAAAAAUCAAGAAGAUCAGAAUAGGCAACGGAGGCUAUCUACCUGCAAAAGGGAUUGGAACUGUUGCAAUUACAACCAGCUCAGAUAGCUUAUUUUACCAAAGCCAGCAACACAGAAAUUUGAUAUAAGAGGCUUAGCCAUUGUCAUCUUCAAAAGAUGUUAAGAUUGCAGAAAAGUGACUUAACAAGGGGACUACUGGAGCUUGACAAUUAUUUGCUAGACUGUACUGCCUGUCAAUUUGGUAAACAUAAUAGUUCGUCAUUUUCAAAAUCAACUUGGAAAGCUUUCAAAAAAUUACAGUUUAUUCAUACGGAUAUUUCUAGACCUCAAAAAAACGUCAUCAUUACAAGUUAGUCUUUACUACAUUCUUUUCAUUGAUGAUUUCACAAGAAUGUGCUGGAUUUUUUUCUUGAAAUUCAAAUCAGAAGUUGCUGGUGUAUUUUUGAAGUUCAAGAAAAUGGUAGAAAAUCAAAGUGGCUGUAAGAUUCAAGCGUUGAGGUCAGAUAAUGGAAAGGAAUAUACUUCAGCAGAGUUUAAUUUAUUUUGCGAAGAAGCUGGCAUUGAACAUCAGCUUACUGUCCCAUAUACUCCAGAAUAGAAUGGAGUUAGCGAAAGAAGGAACAGAUCGGUAAUGGAGAUGGCCAGAUGUAUGUUGCAUGAGAAAGAGUUACCAAAAAAGUUUUGGGCAGAGGCAGCCAAUACAGCAGUAUUUUUGCAAAAUCGACUUCCGACCAAAGCUUUGGAAGAUAAAACUCCGUUUGAAACUUGGUAUGGGUAUAAGCCUUCGCUAAAUUUUCUUAAAGUAUUUAACUGUGUAUGUUUUGUUCACGUGCCACAGGUAAAACGUGACAAGCUUGACCAAAAAGUAAUUUCAGGCAUCUUUGUGGGUUAUAGUUCAAUUUCUAAAGCUUACAAGGUGUAUCAUCAUCAAAUAGCAAAAAUGACAAUCAGUAGAGAUGCGCACACUUUAAUGAGGAUGAACAAUGGGAUUGAAAAAAUUUGCAGAAGAAAAAUAGUUAUUCAAAAGAACUAGGAAGUAUUGUUACUAAAGAGAACCUAGCAGAUUCAUGGCAAGAAGAGCUGGAAGAUGAUUUCCAGUUAGAGGUACAAGGUCAAUUUCAGACAUCGAUGCAAGAUAUAAUGUGGUAAUUUGUGAACUUGGUGAUCCUGAAGAAGCAUUACAGGAUUCAAAGUGGAAGAAAGCAAUGGAGGAGGAGCUGUUUAUGAUUUCAAAAAAUAAAACAUGGGAGUUGGUUAAGAGACCUGAAGGAAGAAAGGUCAUUGGCAUCAAAUGGGUGUUCAGAACAAAGCUGAAUGCAGACAGCUCUAUCAACAAACAUAAGGUCAGACUUGUCGUUAAAGGGUAUGCUCGAAUAUACGGUGUUGAUUAUUCUGACACCUUUGCUCCUAUGGCAAGGCUAGAUAAUAAGGUUGCUGCUUGCAUUAUUAGCACAAAUGGGAUGGAAAGUAUUUCAGCUGGAUGUCAAAUCAACCUUUUUAAAUGGCUUCUUGCAGGAUGAGAUAUAUGUAGAGCAGCCUGAAGGAUUUGUGAAGCAAGGUGAAGAAGACAAGGUCUACUUGCUCAAAAAGGCUCUUUAUGGUUUGAAACAAGCACCAAGAGCUUGGUAUAGCAGGAUAGAUGCGCACUUGAUAAGUCUUGGUUUUGUUAAAAGCUUAUCUGAGGCCACUCUUUAUGUGAAACAUAAAAAUAAUGACACACUCAUUGUGUCCCUAUAUGUUGAUGAUCUUCUGGUGACAGGAAAUAAUACAAAGCUGGUUAAAGAGUUCAAAAAAGAAAUGAUGAAAGGUUUUGAAACGACAGAUCUUGGUCUCAUGACCUAUUUUCUCGGAAUGGAGAUCAGACAAGAAGAAAAUGAAGUGUUCAUUGGUAAAAAAAAAAUAUACAAAGGAAAUCUUAAAGAAGUUUAAGAUGGAAGAAUGCAAGGCAGUAAGCACACCAAUGAAUCAAAAGGAGAAACUAAGCAAGGAAGAUGGAGCUGAUAAAGUUGAGGAAGGUUAUUACAGGAGUUUGAUUGGAUGUUUUAUGUACGUCACUGCAACAAGGCUUGACAUUCUAUUUACUGUAAGUCUCUUAUCUCGAUUUAUGCAUUGCUCUAGUGAAAUGCAUUUAAUUGCAGCAAAAAUAAUAUUAAGGUAUGUCAAAGGUACUGUUGAUCAUGGAGUUCAGUUUAAAAGAUAUAAAAAUUUCAAGUUGUGUGAUUUUUCGGAUAGUGAUUGGAUUGGAUCAGUUGAUGAUAUGAAAAGCACUUCAGGA